This 329-nucleotide long non-coding RNA is filed under the name Elaeis guineensis (African oil palm). Its description in RNAcentral is "long non-coding RNA (EGUI_LNC064949)". Lineage: Eukaryota; Viridiplantae; Streptophyta; Magnoliopsida; Arecales; Arecaceae. The record is from RNAcentral.
AUGGCAUAAAAAAUAAAGAGACGUGUGGAAACAUGUAAGGAAAUUAAGAGGAGUAUGAAAAAAGGACUCCUCUUCUUUAGCACCUAAAUUAAAUGGGGUAGAACAUUUAUUUGUGCAUGGCUUUUAAUAUGGAGGAGGUUAAUCUUAUAUGGAACUCUUCCAUAAAAAUUAGAUAAGCCACCUAUUUAAUUAUAGAUUCAAAUCCAAUCACAUUAGGUCAAAGCAACAAGUUAAAAGGUUAGUACAAACAUCUUUGUACUGAACCCAAUUGAAAACUUGGGUUAAUUCAUAUGCUAGCAAUUCAAUUAACCUAUUGAAUUUAUAAUAAA